AGAUUGAACGCUGGCGGCAGGCCUAACACAUGCAAGUCGAGCGGCAGCACGGGUACUUGUACCUGGUGGCGAGCGGCGGACGGGUGAGUAAUGCCUAGGAAUCUGCCUGGUAGUGGGGGAUAACGCUCGGAAACGGACGCUAAUACCGCAUACGUCCUACGGGAGAAAGCAGGGGACCUUCGGGCCUUGCGCUAUCAGAUGAGCCUAGGUCGGAUUAGCUAGUUGGUGAGGUAAUGGCUCACCAAGGCGACGAUCCGUAACUGGUCUGAGAGGAUGAUCAGUCACACUGGAACUGAGACACGGUCCAGACUCCUACGGGAGGCAGCAGUGGGGAAUAUUGGACAAUGGGCGAAAGCCUGAUCCAGCCAUGCCGCGUGUGUGAAGAAGGUCUUCGGAUUGUAAAGCACUUUAAGUUGGAGGAAGGCAGUUACCUAAUACGUAUCUGUGUUGACGUUACCGACAGAAUAAGCACCGGCUAACUCUGUG
This 486-nucleotide ribosomal RNA is filed under the name uncultured soil bacterium. RNAcentral describes it as "bacterial SSU rRNA". It matches the Rfam family "Bacterial small subunit ribosomal RNA", at positions 26 to 507 of the family's 1533-position model. The record is from RNAcentral.